Molecule: long non-coding RNA, 9171 nt
Organism: Oreochromis niloticus (Nile tilapia)
Lineage: Eukaryota; Metazoa; Chordata; Actinopteri; Cichliformes; Cichlidae
Exons: 3
Source: RefSeq, a predicted model, not a curated record
AAACAGCUUUGCAGAAAAAAUGAAAUAAUUUGAUCUCAAUUGUCUUAUCAAGAACAGUAUUCUCACGGUUUUCUGAUAUAUCAGUUCAGUGUGUGGUUUCUGAAUGUCCCAACUUGUGGUUGCUUUACAGAGAGGAAGCAGACCGAUAACAAACCUUGUGGCAUCUUUUUGUGUCAUACUGGGUUAAAAUGUGUAGUGCAAUGCAUGUAUGAAGAAUGCUGACGUAUCAUGCCUGCUGGUUGCAGUGCGUCAUACCAGAGUCAAAUUAUCAGUGUCAAGCAACCUGCCAAUUACUGCAUCUAGCAAAUUGGGACCUUACCAAAUAGACAGAGCACACUCUGAAAAUGCUUAAUAUUUCAACAAAAUUAUAGCUAACAUCAGUUCAUAACUGCACGUUCAUACCACCAGCAGUAGGAUGGAGUUUACAAGGAUCAAACUUUUGAACUCCCCCCCCCCCCUUUUUUUUUCUUAAAGUUCAACACCUGAAAUAAGCAAGAUAAGUCACAGCAGCAAAAACUAUGGUGGUACUGAAAAGUCUGGCAUCAUUCUCAUCAGUUAAGCCUCAGCCGAAAUAACUAAAAACAACUUUUCAUAAUAACUCUUUAACGGUUGGAAGACUCUGCAAGAAAUAGUUCUGUAUGGAUGCAGACUAAUAACAUAACCUGUCAAUCAGGGCUGCAUAGAAAUUUACGAGAUUUUAAGCAGCAAUUCUUCAGGAGUUCACGGGAGGAAAAAGACAAUUGAGUAGCGAGAUAUGAGGUGCUACUGUAAUGAGCCAAGCAGGAUUUUGGCAAGUGCUGAUAUAGAUUUUUAAGGAGGAAAAACAGCUUUUAUAUCUCUAUAAAGAGCAGUAAAUCUACCAGGGCUGCACUGAAUGGUGCAAGAGCAAUUUUACUUAGUAACUGGGCUAUAUCUUAAACCCCAUUUUAGACACUUCAGCAUAAAACAAUAGCUUGUACAGUCACUGUGACAUGCUGAUGCAAAAACUAAUGGUUGAUGUAAUAUAGAAAGUAUGGACAUAAAGGGACAAACAAAAUUAAACUGGCACAGCCUAUAGUUAGCUCCGAUUUACCAAGUUUUCUGGAAUUUAUGACAGAAGGGUUCAGGUGAACAACAUCCUGUGAUUACUUAAAUAGAAGCUCAACUAUCUAAUAAUUUAUUUGUCGUUUUAUUCAUCUUCUCCUCCACAUCGUCUUUUCCUAUACUUUUGAUAUGUACAUACUACCUUUUUUUCCCCUUCUGUUUAUGCUGGUCUUGGAGGAGCUACCUUGCUUGUAUCUUUACCCUGCCCUUUCCUUCCUUUUCAACAGUACUGUGCUUGCAGUGACAUUUGCUGUAAAUGUUGCAUCCUACUGUUCACUGAUUCAGACUAUUUCGAUUCGUCCUUGCCAAAACAAAAGUCUCAGCAGUUCUCAAAGCCUAUACCUUCAUCUUUUUUGUCAUAACGCUUCCUCUUUUUGCUAUUACACUCAGUUUAGUUACUGUUUCAGUCUGUGUUUCACACCAUGCAACUUUCUGCUCACUCUACAUCCUGCCUAUGAUUUAACUCUUACCAUCUCUCAACACAAAAAAAAGUCUCGUCCUCUCCCUCUUUCCCCUUGCCCCAUAUGUGACUCACUCAUUUUCCCAGUAUCUAACCCCCUCUAUCACACGCUCCCUAAGACUCAGGCCCUUAAAAGGAAGUAACCCUGUACUGCUUAUAGCUGCAUUGGUGUUAACCCUUUCCCAUCACCACAGCCAUCAGGUUUGCCAAUGCCUCUAAUGUCUUUAAGCUCAAACUGACUUCUAUUUUUCUUGUGUUUAUUACUUCAAUCUGUCACAAAAUGUGAUAUUAAAGUAAUAUUGUCAAAACAUUCUCACUAAUACAAUUUCCUGUAUUACCCGUGUUUAUGGGAACUUGUGGAUAGUUUUUGACCACUAAAAAUCAAAUGCACUCCAUAGUAAACUUGUAGCAAGUAACCAGAAAACCAAAAAAAUGUGCCCUGCCAUUUCCUAGUUACAGAUUCACACAGGGAGCAAAAUGUUUUCUUUGUGUCAAGUAGAUGGUACAUUCUGGCUUUUUAAAAUGUACUACUUUCCAAAGUCAACUUGUGGCUGGCUGUAGUUUAACAAACCUGUCGUCUUUUGUUUUUGGUGAGAAAGAUAACUCAAAGAGUCAUCUAUGCAGUGGAAAGCUAAACACAUCCCUUAGGAGAUGGUUUACUGUGUAACCCAAAAAGCACACAAUUCACACAGAAAAAAUAAAAUUAAUUGGCUGCACAGCUUACAUGUGAGAGGUGGCUGAAAAGAUCGACAAUACAGCUAAGAAUGUAAUGUUUAUUUUGAUUACUCAGCUAUCUGAAAUCUGACUUAAGUAUAUACUCCAAGUUAUCACAAAAGUCUCACUAAAAUUUCAAAGUUUGUAAGCAGCAGCAGCAAUGGCAGCACAGACACAGGCGUACGAAGGCUUUUGCAAAUGAUAUUCAAGCACUAGAGAAAGUGCUUAUUUAAGGUCUUUGAAAAUCCCCCAUGCCCCUGGUAGUGUUAAUACUAUGCAAUUCCCAAGUAUUUACACAGGCUAGCAGUUAGUGCAGCGAAAGAAGCACCACUGUGUUACAAACAUCAUGAGUGUGCUAUCUUUUUCAAUUACUGGACAUCACACAACAUCAAUGAAAAAAAAACCCCAAAUAAAACCAGACAAACUAUGCUACAUGACACCAAGACUAAUCAGCAUCAAGUGUAACUUUAAUCCAGCAGCAGCUACUUAAUGUAAUCCUGACCAUUCUGAGUAAACUAAGAGUGGUUACUCUUCACUGAUGAUUGUCUACUGAAUAAAAUACAUAUUACUGACUCAUAACCUAGUAGUUAUGACUUGAUUAUGGGACUGACCAAGCUAAAUGACUACACUGUAGUUUGUUUUCCCAGACUUCUUCUCUCAGGGGGGCAAUACACUGUCUCUAAUGACCAAUAUGCUGCCUCCUCCCAAAAAGAAAUUCUUAGAAACACCACAUUCAUGAAGACAGCUAAUAGUUACUGGGCAUCACUGAUGACAGCUUUAUGCUGAUGUCAAAGCUGAUGCACAGUGUAAUGCGUACUUGUGCCAGUAUCGAGGAAUCUGUGCAAUCUUGCACAAGAAAAAUGAUGUUAAAAAAAAUGGUUCAUAUUACAAAAAACAGAGGAAGACCACAGGAACAGUUUAAAUUCCUGCGGAAAUGGUGCUGAAGGAUUCACCUGUGUUUUGGAGGAAUUAGGACUAGGAGAUUAUGAGGUUAACACGAUGCUUCUAACACAAUUCAGCCAAGUGUGGCUGAGUAUUGGCAGUGCUAGCAGCCCAAAACAAACUGCCAGAGACCAGUAACAGCCAAGAUAUGAACACGAGUAUAAAUUUCCAUUUUAAAAAAAAAAAAAGUAUAAAGACCAAAAAAGGUUUGGUUUGUAAGAAGUGUUUAGUAUGUUAAUGUUAGCAGAAUCUGAGAUAUAACUGACAGUUUGCUGGAUUAUAAAUCUGCACAAGUUGGGCAUUAUUAUCAGUCACCUGUGGAAACUGACACUGCAGAACGUAUAUGACAGCAAUCCCCCUUCUGACUUUAUCUGGUACUAAAUUUAUGAACCUAGCUGGUGUAGUUUUUCUGCAACAUUUAUCAUCUGUAAAUAGCAGGAAAUAAUUUAUAGUCCUUAGCUUCAGGCGCUUGUGUCAUGACCAACCUCGAUUCCCCUUUUGGUGACUCCGAUGUCGUGCAGAGAACUCCCAGAUUACUGUCCUGCAGUUUUCUGUGCUUUUGCUUUUCCAUUUUUUGUGAGCAAGACUUUAGUUGAAAGAGAUGAACACAGACCUCUCCUACAUUGAGUUUUUCUUCACUCAAAUAGCUGUAUUAAAGAUUGAAAUGUUUAUGGAAUAAAACUUAACAGACCAAUGAAGACUGUCUGCGACAUGUCAGACUAGAGAUUCACCAGUAAUGAAAAUAAUCUGAGCUUUGGCAAGUACAUUAACAGGAACUAAGGUUAGUUUGCAGACUACAUGCAUACAGCAGCAACAUCUAUCAUAACCUUCUAGAAAGUGAGAAUGUAGUGCGCAUUUAUGUACAGGGUGCCAUAAAUAAAUAUCCCCAACAUAGAGACACAAUUUAUAAUCUUUUUUUGUUGUUGUUGCUUAGUUAAGUUUAGUGUAUAUAGACACGUUUUCGUAACCGCUUAUAGGCCGAAGCAUCUUUAAUUAUGUCACCAUGUGAGGUGUACAGGUGCUACACAAACGCAUUACAAAGCAUCCAAUUUAAAAUUAAAUACCACACAUAAUUUAGCACAACAACAUACCUAGCCAUUAUGAAUACCAUUACUUUGAUAGAUUGAUAAAGAUCUAUGUAUCCCAUGUCAGAAAAGAUCUCAAGGGAUGACACAUCCUCCAUAUGACAAAGGCAACCAAAGCAAAAAAACAUGAAUAGCUAUAAUGAAUCAUGUCCCAUCUGGCCAAUAUCAGUAUUAGUACCAAUAUUACUCCUCACACCAGACAGUGGUAUUACAGCCACUGACUGGUUACUGCUCAGGAUGGUAUUUUGUACUCUUAUUUAUGUACUCUCAGGACCCGAAGGAUCUUGCAAAUUUGUGCAAGAUGUGCACACUUGCAAAUGUGAAAAUGUGCAUUCCCAGGGCACCAAUGUCCAUACACUGAAUUGUAAAGGCUACUUUGGGGGUACAAAGAAGAUCUAUAUAAUAUUAGGGAGUUGGUGUUAUUGCUGUGGCUAACUGAUGUAAGAUUACUUGUACCCAUGAUAAUGCUGCAUGCAUUUAUUUUAAUCUGCAGGGUGACAAAAAAUGUCAUUAACGCCCAAGUAAAAACACACUAUUUCACCUUCAACAGUACUGUGUGGUGGUACAACUAUGAACUGCAGAACAGUCAGCCUGCACAGCCUAGAGCGUAACACAUUCUGAUCAAAGCACUGAAGUAUAACAUAAACAAGGCCAAUGUGGUUUCCCAUUACAUGACCAUUUACAGUCACAAAAGAGGGUCAAAAUUCCAAAUUCUCAAGCUUAUGUUUACAGUUAAAUGUCAAAUGGUAGUGAAUUUAAUUACCUAACUCAUGGGUACCACUUGUUAUGCCACUGAAGCAGCCAAGCGUGUUUGACCUGGUACUUCAGUCAAGUCAACAAAUCCAACCCAGUAUAAAAAAUUAGAUUGUGUUACUAUGGAAAUAAAGGAAGUUUAUUAGAUUUAAAAUGAUAAAUAUACAACAAACAGCAAAAGCAAACAAGUGACAGGUUGCAUUCAUCCUCCUUUUGUUUUUAAAUGACUCUUAUUUUCUUUGAUUCUCACUUGCAGCUUCAAUUCUUACUGACUGCCAAUGAACAGAGCAGCUACUCUUAAGAAGAAAAACAGUAACAGGGUUACACAAACCCAAAUUAUCAGAAGUGCAACGCAAGGACAGGGAUAUGAAAGUCGGUCAUAUCAAGGCUAUGCAAAUAUAUUGAUACAGAUACUUGUUACAGAAGGGAGGGCUGUGAACUACCAGUGACCUCCCAACUUUCUUUAUCUGAUUCACAAUUAUGUGAGACCGCUCCCUUUCACUGUCAUGUCCAGCAGCAAUUGGCUGAGAGUAUUUUCAAGGACAGUGGUUUCUAUGGUAACAAUAGCUGAAACAGUGUAGAGCGCCAUGUUGAAGGCAAUCUACAUGUCUUGAAGCAAACCAUUUCAUUUUUAUUUUAAAGGUAGUUAUUUAGACUCCCUAUUGUCAGGGCUACACAUUAUUCAAUAUGGAGGGUGGAUAGCCUCUUCUGCUGCCUAGCAGUGACGCCAAAGGUGGAUGAUAAGAUCGAUAGACUAUGGAGCAAAUUGUCCAACCCUGCAGACUAUUUUACUUCUUUUAUUACUGUGCUACCAUGUCACCUAAUGAGAUUGGGCAAGUACAUCAAGACAAACACACGCAGGCCAAGGGAGACAGGAGAUCGUGAAAAUGACACAGUAGGUUCCAGUGGAAACAGAACAGCAGGCUGACAGACCGAUUGGGAGAACAAAGGGAGGACAUGACUGUUGACAUAAAAUUCAAAUUCAAAUGUUUAAAGAGUGUAUAUAUCAGUUUCAACAUGAUGAUGUCAUCUUUGUCCUAUUUUCAAUUAAAAUAUGGGAUUUGCAUGAUUUGCAAAAUAUGAAUCAUAAAUUUCCUUUUACACAAUGUCCGCACAAUGUGUUAGCCAUGUGUUCUGUCAUGGCUAAACAGGUAAACAGCCUGCCAAUGGAGGACAUUACAUACUAAGUUAUUAUGAUUUCUAUGAUGAACAUAUUUUUGGUAGAAAUUAUUAAAAAAAUAAAUUGAUAACCGACCAGGUUUCAGGUUCGUCAGUUCAUUCUUAUCUCACAUCGCUAGGUUGUGAAACAGAUAAAACAACAACUGUUGGUCACAGGCUUAUCUGAGUUUACAGCCACUGCAUUGAACAGGCAGAUAUUUGGACUUUAUGCUAAAUGAACUAUUCGAAAUGUGUAUAUACAUACUCAGACAACAAAUUUUCCCUUCGGCAUUUACCUUUGAACCCUAUGUGAACACAAGUUUCCUCUACACCAGGGGUGUCAAUCAUAAGGCCUAGGGGCCAGAAUCAGCCUGGUAAAAACUCUAAUCCGGCCCACUGGAAGGCUUAGGGAAAUGGCUAUUCAUACUUCAAAAGUAAUUACGUAAGAGAUAAAGAAUUAAAUGACAGAAAAGUUCCUGUUUUAUCACCAUUCACUAUAGACAUUUCUGUUCAGGCCUAUAGUGGAUUUUUAUUUUUUAUUUUUAAUGGAGGACAUUUUUUGUGCAAUAACAAAACUUUUUGUAAUUACAGGAGUCUGGGCAAUGGGCUACCAGGAUGUUUUUUUUUCUGUAAUUUUACAUAUUUAAUUUGUGCUGACAGCUUUCUUCCAUUUGCUGCAUCAGCAUUUCUUUACCAUGUAGAAAAUCUGAGAUGUACUGUUGCACUUUUUUCUUAUAUAAAGAUAUUUCAGGGAUUAAAUAUGUAGUUAAACUUCCAUCCAUUGUCAGGACUUUCACUGAUUCAGUCCACUUAAAGCUGAAGUGAUGUAAAAUGAGUUUGACAACCCUGCUCUGUACUUUAUGCGCUAUAUUUUCCAUUUAUAGAUGUUUUCUAUAUGAAUACAUGAGAGCAACAUGAGCUAUGAGAGAAUUAUCAACAAUGGCUGCCCCAUGAAAAGGAAAAGCACUUGUUCACACAGGAAGUAUGUUUGCAGACAAUUCAACAGUGGCUAAGAGUGCUCAAAAAUGAGAAAACAAUAUAAGAUCUAUAGAUCUGAUACAUUUGUGAGGAUACAUCUUCAUGAAUCAGUUAGAGUGCCAUGAAAAUGUGUGAAAAAAAAUGAAAAGAAAAAAAAAAAAAGCAUUGGUUUACUUCUUAGUAAGGACCGGGAUUCCCAAAUUACAGCCUGGAGCUAUGGCCCUCUGAGACAAAUGUGGCGCCAGUAACAACCCUAAACGCUGGAGGAAUGAUUCCCACAUCCUUUAGUUGUAUUUGUUUCUUUUUAUAAUUUCUAUUCAGGUCUUUGUCAUCCUCCUUAACUUUGUUCCUAUCCCAUGCCCUCAUCUGUUCACUCCCCUCUGUAGUUCCCCCCGCUUCUCUCCCAAGAGAAACAUCAAUAAACGGGCAUGUUUCUGAUACCUAGAAUAUUGGUUUAGUGUUAGUUUUAUUGCCUUUAUUUGGCCAGUGAAUUGAAAUUAAAACUCUCUUUCUUUGUGGAUCGUCCAAAUUGGGGGGAAAAAGUAAAAACUGGUUAAAACAUUUUCUACAAAAAUAAAUAAAUAAAUAAAAAAAAUUAAAAACAUACAUGCUUCUCAGUUCUUUUACUUCCUGCUCUCCUUCUUACUUUAAUUUGCACAUCUUCAUAUAACUAUAGUAAGAUAAAUACAGCAUAUUUUGUUAGAACACUGGGGUAUACUAAAUAACUUUGAGCCUUUAACUUUUUCAAUAAAGACUACAGUUUUAUUUUUCAAGAAAGAGUGAAACUAAACUAUCAUUUCCACUGAUGGGAAGUCUGGCUUAUACCACAUUAUCUAUUGCACAUGGCAAUCAAAGGUGAGACGUAACACAUAAUGAACUGUGAAUUCACAAAACAUCACACACCUUCUUCUAAUGCACCAAACAGAUCAACACGAUGACAUGACAGCAGUCUGCACUGGUCAACCUGACCCUUCUGCACGACUGGGACAGAAACAUCCGUCUCCCAAAUGGCUUCGAGCCUGGAUUUAAUGUACACCAAGAAGGCUGGCAUCAUACUCAGAUCUGUUGUCCAGAAGUAUGUAAUCUAGAUGCCUCUGAUGGCAGUAAUAAAUCUACAUAGAUGUGUCACUGAAGGCUUUAAAUGGACUGGUGAGGCAGGGUUCAGACAGCAUUAUGAUUCCGAAGAAUAGUGUGCUGGAGCCACGGGAUGCAUAUGAACUUCAAACAGGUGCAGCAGAAGAUAACAUGCAAUCUCUCACUUUAAGCCAGUCAUCCCUCACCACUUCCUCAUUUUGCUGCAGGGACUAAGAUGGCUAGAGGAUAGAGAACAAGGAAGUACAAAGGUUCAAAUGAUGUCUACAAGCAAAUGCAUGCAAGCCAAGUUGUAUCAUAGCCUGCUGUACCAAUAACUGAUCUUAAGUGUUUUGUAAUGGCUUUACGCCUUUUUCUUGUUAAUUGUUUCUUAAUCAAAAGUCAUACUAACACAUUUGUACUAUUCUGUACUAGUCCAAAUGACACAAAAGGGGAUCCUAGUGAUAAACACAUGCGCUCCAUUCAAGUCUUAUUGUCAGACAUAAAAAUGUCCAUAUGGAGACAAUACCUUAUAUGGAAAAUGGAGAUUACGAUAGCUACAUAAAUGUCUCCUGGAAUCUCAUUUCCACAUGAAGUGUUUGAGACUUGAAGAGUUGCUAAAGAACUAACACUAUAGCCAUCUCUAGCUAUUGUAGUUUAUUGUUAUUUUAAAAAGAUAUAGAUCCAGAAAAUGAUGUAAAGACAAAUACUUCAAAAAGCCAUAUACAGAAAUAUACAAACAGGACAAGAGAAUUAAGAAAAUUUGAAUAAAAAAAAAAAAAAAAAAAAAAAAAAUUGUGAACCCUACAAAGAGAUGUGAAGAAACAGGCUCAUGAAAGGUAGAAAGAUAAGACUACAAAGACAUUUAAUGAAAGAGACACCAAGAUAAGAAAAGCUGAUAACAAAUUUUAAGCAGGAAAAAAAAAA